This 468-nucleotide ribosomal RNA is filed under the name uncultured bacterium. Its description in RNAcentral is "partial 16S ribosomal RNA". It matches the Rfam family "Bacterial small subunit ribosomal RNA", at positions 28 to 507 of the family's 1533-position model. The record is from RNAcentral.
GACGAACGCUGGCGGCGUGCUUAACACAUGCAAGUCGAACGGAAAGGCCCUGCUUUUGUGGGGUGCUCGAGUGGCGAACGGGUGAGUAACACGUGAGUAACCUGCCCUUGACUUUGGGAUAACUUCAGGAAACUGGGGCUCAUACCGGAUAGGAGCUCCUGCUGCAUGGUGGGGGUUGGAAAGUUUCGGCGGUUGGGGAUGGACUCGCGGCUUGUCAGCUUGUUGGUGUGGUAGUGGCUUACCAUGGCUUUGACGGGUAGCCGGCCUGAGAGGGUGACCGGCCACAGUGGGACUGAGAUACGGCCCAGACUCCGACGGGAGGCAGAAGUGGGGAAUAUUGCAGAAUGGGCGGAAGCCUGAUGCAGCAACGCCGCGUGCGGGAUGACGGCCUUCGGGUUGUAAACCGCUUUCGCCUGUGACGAAGCGUGAGUGACGGUAAUGGGUAAAGAAGCACCGGCUAACUACGUG